CACCAUCGGUGCACUGUGCUGAUGAGCCCCAAAAAGGGCGAAACAGCUAGCUGUCCACAGUUGCCGUUGUUUAAGCUU
Molecule: non-coding RNA, 78 nt
Filed under: Paramuricea clavata
Lineage: Eukaryota; Metazoa; Cnidaria; Anthozoa; Malacalcyonacea; Plexauridae
Source: RNAcentral